UUGAACGCUGGCGGCAUGCUUUACACAUGCAAGUCGAACGGUAACAGGGUGCUUGCACCGCUGACGAGUGGCGAACGGGUGUGUAAUGCAUCGGAAUGUACCGUGUAAUGGGGGAUAGCUCGGCGAAAGCCGGAUUAAUACCGCAUACGCCCUGAGGGGGAAAGUGGGGGACCGAAAGGCCUCACGUUAUACGAGCAGCCGAUGUCUGAUUAGCUAGUUGGUGAGGUAAAGGCUCACCAAGGCGUCGAUCAGUAGCGGGUCUGAGAGGAUGAUCCGCCACACUGGGACUGAGACACGGCCCAGACUCCUACGGGAGGCAGCAGUGGGGAAUUUUGGACAAUGGGCGCAAGCCUGAUCCAGCCAUGCCGCGUGUCUGAAGAAGGCCUUCGGGUUGUAAAGGACUUUUGUCCGGGAGCAAAUCCUAGUGGUUAAUACCUACUGGGGCUGAGAGUACCGGAAGAAUAAGCACCGGCUAACUACGUG
RNAcentral lists this ribosomal RNA (483 nucleotides) under uncultured bacterium. RNAcentral's name for it is "partial 16S ribosomal RNA". It matches the Rfam family "Bacterial small subunit ribosomal RNA", at positions 30 to 507 of the family's 1533-position model. The record is from RNAcentral.